ACGUACGCUGGCGGCACGCCUAACACAUGCAAGUCGAACGAAGUAGCAAUACUUAGUGGCAGACGGGUGAGUAACAUGUGGGUAUCUACCCUUUGGCCUGGAAUAACACGAGGAAACUUGUGCUAAUACCGGAUAAGUCUUUACGGAGAAAGCUUUAUGCACCAUUGGAUGAGCCCGCACUUGAUUAGCUUGUUGGUAGGGUAAAAGCCUACCAAGGCGACGAUCUUUAGCUGGUCUGAGAGGAUGAUCAGCCACAUCGGGACUGAGACACGGCCCGAACUCCUACGGGAGGCAGCAGUGGGGAAUAUUGGACAAUGGGGGCAACCCUGAUCCAGCAAUACCGCGUGUGUGAAGAAGGCCUGAGGGUUGUAAAGCACUUUCAAUUGUGAAGAAAAGUUAGCGGUUAAUAACCGUUAGCCUUGACGUUAACUUUAGAAGAAGCACCGGCUAACUCCGUGCCAGCAGCCGCGGUAAUACGGAGGGUGCAAGCGUUAAUCGGAAUUACUGGGCGUAAAGCGUGCGUAGGCGGUUUAUUAAGUCAGAUGUGAAAGCCCCGGGCUUAACCUGGGAACUGCAUUUGAAACUGGUCAACUAGAGUAUGGUAGAGGAAAGUGGAAUUUCUGGUGUAGCGGUGAAAUGCGUAGAUAUCAGAAGGAACAUCAAUGGCGAAGGCAGCUUUCUGGACCAAUACUGACGCUGAGGUACGAAAGCGUGGGUAGCAAACAGGAUUAGAUACCCUGGUAGUCCACGCCGUAAACGAUGAUAACUAGCCGUUGGGGGGAUUUACCCUUUAGUGGCGAAGCUAACGCGUUAAGUUAUCCGCCUGGGGAGUACGGCCGCAAGGUUAAAACUCAAAGGAAUUGACGGGGACCCGCACAAGCGGUGGAGCAUGUGGUUUAAUUCGAUGCAACGCGAAGAACCUUACCUGGUCUUGACAUCCUGCGAACUUUCUAGAAAUAGAUUGGUGCCUUCGGGAACGCAGUGACAGGUGCUGCAUGGCUGUCGUCAGCUCGUGUCGUGAGAUGUUGGGUUAAGUCCCGUAACGAGCGCAACCCCUAUCCUUAUUUGCCAGCACAUCAUGGUGGGAACUAUAAGGAGACUGCCGGUGAUAAACCGGAGGAAGGCGGGGACGACGUCAAGUCAUCAUGGCCCUUACGACCAGGGCUACACACGUGCUACAAUGGGAAGGACAAAGAGCCGCGAAGCCGCGAGGUGUAGCUAAUCUCAUAAACCUUUUCGUAGUCCGGAUUGGAGUCUGCAACUCGACUCCAUGAAGUCGGAAUCGCUAGUAAUCGUAGAUCAGAAUGCUACGGUGAAUACGUUCCCGGGUCUUGUACUCACCGC
This 1344-nucleotide ribosomal RNA is filed under the name uncultured Gammaproteobacteria bacterium. RNAcentral's name for it is "partial 16S ribosomal RNA". It matches the Rfam family "Bacterial small subunit ribosomal RNA", at positions 29 to 1393 of the family's 1533-position model. Lineage: Bacteria; Pseudomonadati; Pseudomonadota; Gammaproteobacteria. The record is from RNAcentral.